GGGGGUCACAAACUCGUCAUUUGACCAAUCACAGUUGCAGAGAGUAUGGUGCCUACACUGAAUAUGACUACUGGUUCAUCUUGCUGCAGUUUUGAGCUUAAAGAGCAAGUCACCCCCAAAUCAACUGUUUUGUUGCUGAUAAACUAUAUAAAUGAGUGACUAACUGUGCUGUAGACACGUUUAGUCAAUAAUUUGGUGCUUUAGUGCAUCUUUGUUAAAAUUUAAAUAUUCUGCCUAAAACUGCCAGGCUACAGUGUUGCACCCUCUUCAGGUAAAAACUCUGCACUACAUUUGAAUUUAAAUCUGCCAUCGCUUUUGGCUGGUACCAUAUGAUGUCACAAUGUCGUCGUGAGACUGUAUGUGUGUAUUUGUUAGCGGCUCUACCCUCUCGGUCUGCCAGGCAACAGCAUGUGUUGCAUUUUUCAAACAGGAAGUGAGAGUGGAGGAAGACUCUAGUAGGGGGUGACUUGCUCUUUAAAGUGUGUCGAAUCAAACAAAAUCACCAGUAAAUAACAGUUUUCUGUCAAGGGCUUUCAGCCUUUAUAGAUGUUUUCCGAGGCUCGUCUUGAUUUGUUUUUGGAGUCGGAUUUGGAGUAUAACGUAAACACAGAUGGUAUUUAUCCCCAUUAAAAUGUAAUAUUAGCAACAUAAAUACUUUUUUCUGGUAAGAAACAGCCACUGGUGUGCUACAGCCUUACUCUUUUAAAGAACAUCCCCAUAUAUUGAUCUGCACACCGGAAGAUUUUAAGGACGCUGGAGAUAAAGAUGAUUUCAUUAUAUUGUAACAUUUCUGCAGCAAAGCCAGGGGACACCACAGAGUGGGCUAUCACCUUUUUCCACUUCGUUCGAGUGAGUGGGUAUGUACCGGUAUGUAGAUUUUAGCACAAAAAUUUCUGUUUCUUGUUUUUCUGAAGGAUUUCAGAGAUUUUUUUUUGUUCAAAAUGUAACAUUUUAAAUAUGUUAAAAUUUGAUGAAUUUAAAAGAAAGAAUACGUUUUAUUACAAUGAAGUCAAAAUGUGAUUAAAGUCACUAGUCCUGUUCGAAAGUAACCAUUUCACAUAAAUCCGUUUUGAAACAUCUGCUGUGUUUGAUUUGGAUUAUUUUAAUGUUUGUUUUUUCUGAUUAUUAUACGAGCUUUGUUCCUAAUACAUCGCAGUCCAACCUCUCCUGUUUCACUGCUGUCUUCGAUUUCUUUUACUGAGAAAGGACAGCACUCCUUCACGCUUUUCUGCACAGAUCUUAAAGCGGUAUUUCGGAGUCGAUACAUAUCACGUCCAAGACCCCACUAACGGGGCACUAUUUUAGCCUUACUUGGACCUUGACGCUAUGUUUCCCCAUCUUUUAGGCUUUUGCACUCUCUCUUAAUCUUAACUUUGUUCUUUUUACAUACUUUUACCCCUUGAACUGUUUUUAUUGAGCGUUUUAUUUUCUGUUAAUUUUUUAUUGGCCACAUUUGAUUACUGUAGCUUUUAUGAUCUUCUUGAUUUGACUGCAGAGCACCUUGGUCAGCUGCCUUGCUGUGUUUUAAAUGUGCUUUAUAAAUAAAGGAUGGACGGGGUCUCACACUGGUGCUGCUGGGAUUAUCCCGACUAAAUCACCAGAAUUUGUUGAUCAAAGUCUUUUUAUUAAACUUCCUGACCCACCCCACUUAACCCAAACACAGUGGAUCAGUUCAGAGAAACAAACAUAAAACAGGUCUCACAGUGACACUAAAUCAAAACAAAAGAAACUAUCUAAAUAUUAUCCACAGACACACUGUCAAAAUAAAACAUAACUGAUAACCUAAUGAUGUUAAAAUUCUUGACCGAGCCAUUCAAACUAUGUGUGAUCUUUUCCAGGUGGAUAGGGGGUGUAGCCAAUGCAACCCAGUAACCGCAUGCUGGUGGGUGAGAGUAUAAAUCUUUUGGCCAGCAAACAGCAAAAGGUGACCACAUUUAAUCGGGGUGUGUCCAGAGUCUCAUUAUCUUAAUUAAGCUUUAAAAAUGUCUUAAUGUUUCUUUAAAUCUUCUUGGGUAUGUUAAUAUUAAGGAGUCGUCGACGGAGAAGAAUGAACCUGAUUUAUAAAGUUUAAAGACCUCCUUAAUAGAAACACUUCCUCUGAAUUCUUCCACUGUUGUUGCUUUGAAAGAAUUGGGAUUUUUACGCCCUCUUUAAACAUCUUUGGUGUGUUCUUGCCGUGUUGAGUUUCAAAUUCCAUCUUUCAGUUCUUUUUAAAACACAGAAAAGGUUUAUUUACCUGCAACGUUUCGUUGCCGAUGUUGGCGUCACUUCCUUCGUUUAUCCACCAUCCACCGUGACACCAUCGGCGUCAGCCUGAUGAUGUUUGCAGCCGCAAACGAAACGCUGCAGGUAAAUAAACCUUUUCUGUUUUAAAAAUAACUGAAAGAUGGAAUUUUCCGCCCUCUGCAGGCCAAAAACAGAACAACACUCUGGCAUACAACAGCCCAUAGAAAUGAAGGGGAGAUGGGGGUUGCUGCCCUCUAGUGUCCAAGAUCGUAUACUGCGCUUUAGUUUAUUUUAGCCAUUUAGAAGAGAAUACUAUAGCCUCCUUAUUUUAAUGAAGCUUUACAUAAUCCUAAUCUAUCUUUGAAUCUUUUUGGGAAUGUUAUUAAGAAGGAGUCGUCGAAGGAGAAGUAUGAACUGGAUUUAUAAAGUUUAAAGACUUCCUUAGUGGAAAAACUUCCUCUAAAUUCUUCCAAACACUGUCAGAUUUCAAAGUAAUGAAAUUAAAAGUUUAUAAAUUAAGUAAUCAGCAACUGAACAAAAAUGCAGUUUAUUUAACUGCUUGUUCACUGUCUAAAUAAAUGUUUACAAGAGUUGUUUAGUACAGUGGUUCCCAACCUUUUUCCCAAGGGACCCCGUUUUUUACCAGUAAAAAUUUUUGACGACCCCCUCCCAUUCUCUCUUCCAGUACAAACAUUAUUAAUAAAUGAUAAAAUUGUUCAAGCACAUUUUAAUAUGCUGUGAUUCAAUAGAUAACAGUAAUAGUAGGCUCCAGUACAGAACAAAGUCAUUAACAAAACCAAGCAGAGCAUAAUGUGCUUGACAGUUUGUAUUACUUUUCUGAACACAUUGUUUCUUGUAAACACAUAAAUCAAUCAUUCCUUUCAAUAAACGUUUGACACAUAAAAAAUACACUGAGCAAAACGUACUUAAAUGUGCAUAUUACUGUUUAUACUAGACUAUUUACUGUAAAGGCUGUGAUUAAUCAACCAGUCCUAUCUUUAAUGAACUUUUGACACUUGAAAAUAAAACAGUGAGCUGAGCAAAAUGUUCUUAAAAGUGUGUUACUUUUUCUGUACUAAUUAUUUCCUGUCUUAAUAUCAGUAAACUUUUCACUCAUGAAAAAAAUGUGAGCAAAAUGUAGGCUUUAAACAAGUAAUAAAUGAAGUUUUAACCCCUUAAAGUGGAGAGGUCCUGGCGACCCACUGAGAGGCUUUGGCGCCCCCUUGUGGGGGUCGGGACCCCCAGGUUAGGAACCACUGGUUUAGUACACAAACAUCCUAAGUGUGUCAUAAUGCAACCUGACCUGUGCAUCCCAGAUACUGUGGCGGCAGCAGCUCAAGUGCUCAAUUAUCCAAUCUGAUAAAGAUCUUCACGUAAUCCACGGCAGCUUCCAGGUUGUUGAAUAUUUCACCCUCUCCAUCGUGGGUGACACUGAGCCUUGCUGGAAAGAGCAGCCCGUAUCUCACAUCCCACCAACCUCAGAGUAUCCUCUCAUCAGCAAACACAGCAAAAUCAACAGACUUGUCACAGCGGUCUGAAACUCAAACUUUGGAAGCUGUUGUGACCCUUAAAAUUUCUAAUCAGGGGGGGGGAAAUUGCUGAAACGACAGCAAGAUUGAUUCAACAGUCAAUGUUUAACUCAAAAUCUGAAAUUUCUGUGUUUAAGUCAAAAAGAUCCUACAACACCAGUGUUCUUUAGCACAUCUGAGCAUAAAAAGACCAAAGUCCAGGUCAGAACCAGGUUUUAGGUUUAUUGGAUGAGUUUCCAUGCAGUUAGUCAGGACAUGGUAAGACUGAAGAUCAAGAACAUCAGCAGACGUAUAACUAGAACUAAAACAGGAUGUAUUUGUUUCUCCUUAAAAACAUUGAGUCGGAGCUGAAGAAAAAAAAUGUGGUUUAAAUGUAAAAUUAAAAAAUGUCAUUAAUCAAAAAGAAUAAAUAAAAUAUAAAACAUUUUUGGAAAAUCAAAUGACUAUGUUUCAUGAAAACUGUUAAGUUUUCUAAAUUAUUUUGAUAAGAUCAAUAGUUAUUUGUUCUAAAUUUUGGGAAACAUGAUAUUCCAGGUUCAUAAAAAUUUUGCUGAUUUCUUUUUAAGAUCUAAAAAUCAGAAAAAAAUCCAGGUGGAAUUUUUGUAAAAAAUAAAAUAAAAAUUGGUCAUUUUUGUCCUGGCUGGCCAGUUUGUGUCAUUUAUUAAAAAAAAUUAAAUAAAAAAAA
Nothobranchius furzeri (turquoise killifish) is the source of this 4440-nucleotide non-coding RNA. NCBI's taxonomy places the organism in Eukaryota, Metazoa, Chordata, Actinopteri, Cyprinodontiformes, Nothobranchiidae. The record is from RefSeq and is a predicted model, not a curated record.